GUGGGGAAUCUUGCGCAAUGGGCGAAAGCCUGACGCAGCCAUGCCGCGUGGAUGAUGAAGGUCUUAGGAUUGUAAAAUCCUUUCACCGGUGAAGAUAAUGACUGUAGCCGGAGAAGAAGCCCCGGCUAACUUCGUGCCAGCAGCCGCGGUAAUACGAAGGGGGCUAGCGUUGCUCGGAUUUACUGGGCGUAAAGGGCGCGUAGGCGGACAUUUAAGUCAGGGGUGAAAUCCCGGGGCUCAACCUCGGAACUGCCUUUGAUACUGGGUGUCUUGAGUAUGAGAGAGGUGUGUGGAACUCCGAGUGUAGAGGUGAAAUUCGUAGAUAUUCGGAAGAACACCAGUGGCGAAGGCGACACACUGGCUCAUUACUGACGCUGAGGCGCGAAAGCGUGGGGAGCAAACAGGAUUAGAUACCCCAGUAGUCC
This 425-nucleotide ribosomal RNA is filed under the name uncultured bacterium. RNAcentral describes it as "partial 16S ribosomal RNA". It matches the Rfam family "Bacterial small subunit ribosomal RNA", at positions 354 to 796 of the family's 1533-position model. The record is from RNAcentral.